GCCGUUAGGGCUGCUAAGCAGGUCACUGUGAUAUAGUGAUGGUAAGGUUUAACCUUCGUCGGUA
Molecule: transfer RNA, 64 nt
Filed under: Morishitium polonicum
Lineage: Eukaryota; Metazoa; Platyhelminthes; Trematoda; Plagiorchiida; Cyclocoelidae
Description: tRNA-Ile
Source: RNAcentral